ACAUCCAAACUCUGGUCCUGACUGUCCUUCUGCUCAUUUGCUAAAAGGAUCCAGAACUCUGGGACUCCCCUGUUGCCUGUUGGUUGCACACCCACUUGUCAGCAGUUAACUUGCUGAUUUAUUCAACAUACAUUUACUGAGCACUUACUGUGCGCCCGGCCCUGCGCCAGGAGACAGAAGGAGAGACAGAGCGAACCUGGCAUCACCAGACGCAGGAGGAAAGACUCCACCCCACGACAGCUCUCGGGCCUCUGACUCAGCCUCUGAUUCACAUUAGGAUGCUCGCGGAAACCGGGGAGCUAGCUUCUUCAGCUUAGUGAGCUGCACAGAGCAGGUCGUACAUAAAUAAAAACGGAAAACAGCUGCCGUCUCCAAGAAGCUUGGGCUUAAAAAUACUAGAAAGGUAGAUUUUAUCAGCUUCCCAAGCGGAAGUCUGAGCAGUGGUCACAGUACAGGCUAGCAGCUCCCAGGAACUCCUCUGUUUUAUCUUCUUCAGAAGUGGACGCGAUCGCUUUCACCUCGUCCUCGGAAGCCCUCAUGGAAAUUCUCUGCAGCACCUGGAACUGCAUCACCUUCGCUCGGAGCCUUGGUUAGAAUAUCCCGGGGAGCUGGUCACGGGCUGCGGGGUCCUGAGAAGCUGCGGGAGAAGGCACGUCUGCUGAGCUGGGGGGAUCGUUGAGAUGGGGACCCUUGGCCUGGACCCCUUUGCCCCUGUAGAGUGCGCGGGGGUGGGCUGCUCUCCCCCCACAGCAGGGCCCCAUCAGGCCGCUCUCACUGUGCGCCUGACAGCCUCUAGGGGCGCCCUCCUCCUCCUCCUGGCCUGUACCACCUCUUUGCUCCGGGCGGGACUGUCCGGGUUCUCCCGGCUUCACCCAGGGACAGUCCCUCCGAGACUCAGUGCUCCCAUCUUGGGCCUUAUCUUCCACAUCUGUGAAACAAGGGGCAGAACCCUCACCUCCAGGAUCCCUCUCGGCCCAGAAGCUCUGAAAUCCUGCCUACGGUCACUGUUUAUAGCUCUGGGACAGGUUGGGCUCCCGAAUGCCAUCUUGACCUGCGGCUAUCCUGACAGAGCCUCGGCCCGCCUCCCUGCAGAAGCUCUGUGUCCUCCCUGGCCUGCGGGGCCCUCACCUCUGGAGCGAGCUCAUGCAGGGCUUCCCUGGUCUCCAGGAUGUCCCCCAGACAGUGGAGGGGCUCUGGUGUCAGGCCAGUCUGGGCCCUGUGGGGGAAAAAAUCCAACUGUGAAAACUCCCCUCAUAUAGACAAGGUGGAGGGCAGUAAACA
This is a long non-coding RNA of Lutra lutra (Eurasian river otter), 1281 nucleotides long. RefSeq lists it as uncharacterized. The record is from RefSeq and is a predicted model, not a curated record. NCBI's taxonomy places the organism in Eukaryota, Metazoa, Chordata, Mammalia, Carnivora, Mustelidae. The transcript has 3 exons.